GCGGACAUAGUAUAGUGGUAGUACGUGACCUUCCCAAGGUUAAGGUGGGAGUUCGAUUCUCCUUGUCCGCU
This 71-nucleotide transfer RNA is filed under the name bacterium. RNAcentral describes it as "tRNA-Gly". It matches the Rfam family "tRNA". From Rfam's summary of the family: Transfer RNA (tRNA) molecules are approximately 80 nucleotides in length. The record is from RNAcentral.